Long non-coding RNA from Callorhinchus milii (elephant shark), 749 nucleotides. RefSeq lists it as uncharacterized. The record is from RefSeq and is a predicted model, not a curated record. NCBI's taxonomy places the organism in Eukaryota, Metazoa, Chordata, Chondrichthyes, Chimaeriformes, Callorhinchidae. The transcript has 2 exons.
GAAGAAAACAAAACAUUUAUUAGAUUGCAGUUUCAUAAUAGUUUCCUGAGAAUAAGAGAAAGCCGCAGGAACACUAGGCAUGACAUAAUACAAAAUUGAGUACAAAAUUAUAUUAUAUUAUUAUGCGUAGAAGAAUUGGGAAUGCUGACAAGCGGGGAGUUGGCAAAGUCGACGUGGAUGUGACGUCCGCGACAAUGGGGUUUCGGCGGCCUCAUGCGUGAGUCUGUGGUGGGCGAUGUUGCAGAGGUGGGGAUGGCAAAGCUGGUCAUGGCAUGGAUGUGGGGUCUAAAGGACCGUUGAGGGUCAAACAAGAUAUCAAGUUUCCGGACUGGAUCUGUGAGGUGAAGCGUGCAUCCAAGGAUAAUAAUACUGCACCCCGACAAGGUGGCACUCUCCCGAGCAUUGCUCGCUAACGUCAGCAAUGGCUGUGAUCUGUACGUCGGUGGUAUGCGACUGGAACAACCUUCUAACUGCGAGGUAGAAGAGUGGUUUGGAAAUGUUAAAGGAUGCAGCCAAAGCCAUAGUGUCGGAGGAGAUGGUAGAAGAAUUGCAUAAGAUAAGAAUAAAGAAAGUGGAGCCCCGCAGUAAAAAGAUGAUGAACAAACGGAAAGAAAACAGCUAAGGGGGAAAAUGCACGGGAAAAUGGACAACACUUAUAAACAGCAAUAUGCUGUUAACAUGAUAAAAGAUGAGUCUGGACAAGAUUCGUCCCAGCAGUAAGAGCUCGAGAGACAGAUGCACUAUAGAGA